CAGAGGGUUCGAUUCUGGCUCAGAUUGAACGCUGGCGGAUGCUUUACACAUGCAAGUCGAACGGCAGCACGGACUUCGGUCUGCGGCGAGGGCGAACGGGUGAGUAAUGUAUCGGAACGUGCCUAGUAGCGGGGAUAACUACGCAGCGAAAGCGGUGCUACUACCGUACACGACCCUCGGGGAAAGCGGGGGACCUUCGGGCCUCGCACUAUUAGAGCGUUCGAUAUAUUUGAUUAGCUAGUUGGGUGGGGCAAUCGGCCCACUGAGUGACGAUCCGUAGCUGGUUUGAGAGGACGACCAGCCACAUUGGGACUGAGACACGGCCCAGACUCCUACGGGAGGCAAGGUGGGGAAUUUUGGACAAUGGGGGAAAACCCUGAUCCAGCCAUCCCGCGUGUGCGAUGAAGGCCUUCGGGUUGUAAAGCACUUUUGGCAGGAAAGAAACGGCACGGGAUAAUACCCCGUGCAACUGACGGUACCUGCAGAAUAAAGCACCGGCUAACUACGUGCCAGCAGCCGCGGUAAUACGUAGGGUGCAAGCGUUAAUCGGAAUUACUGGGCGUAAAGGCGUGUCUGGAAAGAAAGAUGUGAAAUCCCAGAGCUUAACUUUGGAACUGCAUUUUUAAUUCACUGAUGGAGGUACAGAGAGGUGGAAUUCGCGUGUAGCAGUGAAAUGCGUAGAUAUGCGGAGGAACACCGAUGGCGAAGGCAAUUUCCGGGAUAACACUGACGCUCAGCACUAAGCGUGGAGCAAAAACAGAUUAGAUACCCCGGUAGUCCACGCCCUAAACACAACGGCUGUUGGGGCCUUCGCCUUGGUAGCGCAGCUAACGGUGAAGCGACCAGCCUUGGGGGAGUACGGUCGCAAGAUUAAAACUCAAAGAACUGACGGGGACCCGCACAAGCGGUGGAUGAUGUGGAUUAAUUCGAUGCAACGCGAAAAACCUUACCUACCCUUGACAUGUCUGGAAUCCCGAAGAGAUUUGGGAGUGCUGCCUGCAAGAGAACCGGAACACAGGUGCUGCAUGGCUGUCGUCAGCUCAAAAAUGUGAGAUGGGUUAAGUCCCGCAACGAGCGCAACCCCUUGUCAUUAGUUGCUACGAAAGGGCACUCUAAUGAGACUGCCGGUGACAAACCGGAGGAAGGUGGGGAUGACGUCAUUCUCAUGGCCUUUAUGGGUAGGGUCAUUACCGUCAUACAAUGGUCGGGACAGAGGGUCGCCAACCCGCGAUGUAGCCUGCAUCCCAGAAACCCGGAUCGUAGUCCGCCGACUGCAGUUCGGUAACUCGACUGCGUGAAGUCGGAAUCGCUAGUAAUCGCGGAUCAUAUGUCGCGGUGAAUACGUUCCUGGUCUGCGUACACACCGCCUGUCACACCAUGGGGAGUGGGGUUUUACCAGAAGUAGUUAAAUUAACCGUAAGGAGGGAGCAUUACCACGGUAGAUCUAUGACUGGGGUGAAGUCGCAAUAAGGUAA
Molecule: ribosomal RNA, 1475 nt
Filed under: uncultured Bordetella sp.
Lineage: Bacteria; Pseudomonadati; Pseudomonadota; Betaproteobacteria; Burkholderiales; Alcaligenaceae
Description: partial 16S-23S ribosomal RNA intergenic spacer
Rfam family: Bacterial small subunit ribosomal RNA
Source: RNAcentral